RNAcentral lists this ribosomal RNA (326 nucleotides) under uncultured bacterium. RNAcentral describes it as "bacterial SSU rRNA". It matches the Rfam family "Bacterial small subunit ribosomal RNA", at positions 29 to 369 of the family's 1533-position model. The record is from RNAcentral.
AAUGAACGUUGGCGGCGUGGAUUAGGCAUGCAAGUCGCGCGAUAAGGAACCUUCGGGUUCUGGAGGAGCGGCAAACGGGGUAGUAAGGCAUCGGAACGUACCCUCUUGUUGGGAAUAGCCGCGGGAAACCGCGAGUAAUGCCCAAUAAUCCCUACGGGGCAAAGGUCCGCCGCAGGAGGAGCGGCCGAUGUGAUACCAGCUAGUUGGUGAGGUAAUGGCUCACCAAGGCUUAGACGUCUAGGGGGUGUGAGAGCAUGGCCCCCACCACUGGGACGUGAGAUACUGCCCAGACACCUACGGGUGGGCUGCAGUCGAGAAUCUUCGGC